GCGAGGGUAGCCAAGUGGUCAAAGGCGCAAGACUCAAGAUCUUGUNGGUUAGUCCNUUCGCCGGUUCGAAUCCGGUCCCUCGCA
Molecule: transfer RNA, 84 nt
Filed under: archaeon
Lineage: Archaea
Description: tRNA-Leu
Rfam family: tRNA
About the family: Transfer RNA (tRNA) molecules are approximately 80 nucleotides in length.
Source: RNAcentral